GACGAACGCUGGCGGCGUGCUUAACACAUGCAAGUCGAACGGAAAGGCCCUGCUCUUGUGGGGUGCUCGAGUGGCGAACGGGUGAGUAAAACGUGAGUAACCUGCCCUUGACUUUGGGAUAACUUCAGGAAACUGGGGCUAAUACCGGAUAGGAGCUCCUGCUGCAUGGUGGGGGUUGGAAAGUUUCGGCGGUUGGGGAUGGACUCGCGGCUUAUCAGCUUGUUGGUGGGGUAGUGGCUUACCAAGGCUUUGACGGGUAGCCGGCCUGAGAGGGUGACCGGCCACAUUGGGACUGAGAUACGGCCCAGACUCCUACGGGAGGCAGCAGUGGGGAAUAUUGCGCAAUGGGCGGAAGCCUGAUGCAGCAACGCCGCGUGCGGGAUGACGGCCUUCGGGUUGUAAACCGCUUUCGCCGGUGACGAAGCGUGAGUGACGGUAAUGGGUAAGGAAGCACCGGCUAACUACGUG
Molecule: ribosomal RNA, 468 nt
Filed under: uncultured bacterium
Lineage: Bacteria
Description: partial 16S ribosomal RNA
Rfam family: Bacterial small subunit ribosomal RNA
Source: RNAcentral